This 253-nucleotide ribosomal RNA is filed under the name uncultured bacterium. RNAcentral's name for it is "partial 16S ribosomal RNA". It matches the Rfam family "Bacterial small subunit ribosomal RNA", at positions 524 to 776 of the family's 1533-position model. The record is from RNAcentral.
UACAGAGGUGGCAAGCGUUGUUCGGAAUUACUGGGCGUAAAGGGCGCGUAGGCGGCCUUCUAAGUCAGACGUGAAAUCCCCAGGCUUAACUUGGGAACUGCGUCUGAUACUGGGAGGCUUGAGUGCGGGAGAGGGAUGUGGAAUUCCCGGUGUAGCGGUGAAAUGCGCAGAUAUCGGGAGGAACACCGGUGGCGAAGGCGGUUCUCUGGGCCUUACCUGACGCUGAGGAGCGAAAGCGUGGGGAGCGAACAGG